CUUCCUUGCAGAAAAUUUAGGCAGAUAGGAAACUUUUUAUGGGGACACUCCCAGCUCUACCUGAAUUGCGAGGACCUUCAUGCACAGCAGAUGCUUUGCCACUGAACCAGGGCCCUUCCACAUAGUUCUCAAGUGCUGUCUCCAUGAUAUGCGAUAAAUGUGCAAAUGCCCAACAUUCCUUCCUCUGUAGAAGUUCAGAAAAGUUCUACGCAGUGACUAAACCACACGGGUUUGGGGUUUAUUAUGCAGAUGGAUUCCACACUCUUCUGUUUUUCACCCCCCUCCCUUUUAUCCACUUUUUGUGGAUAAAAUGUUUUGAAUUAGAAUAGCUUACUCAAGGUCACUGAAGGCAUAUGGUCCUGCUCAAAACUUUAAACAAAACAUUAGUUUUUACAACCCUUUGUAAUUUGGUAUUGUAUACAACACGGUCAUCGACGGGCUCACUGUAAUCUUUUUCAGUGGGUGACAGAAAUAUGAGAGGCAAAUUUAUAAGCCAUUUAGUGAAGCAUUUAAUCAAUUUCAUGCAUAGGAAAUAACUCCAAUUGCUUUGCUUUAUCAAUCUUCCUUUUAUUCCCCCACCCCGCCAUCCUGCAGAAAUGCUGUUGUCGUGCUUUCCAGAUAUACGGAAAAGCUGGAACAAUUGACGACGGAUGCAGACUCUUGCAGCGCAUCAGGAAACUUCUGAGGACCAACUUAGUUUGCCAUUCAUUGCCAGCUUCAAGAAUCCCAUGUUUUUGGAAACUGUGAACAAGUUUCCAGGGAGGGUGCAGGGAGGAAGAAUUUUGAACAUUUGCAGAGAGCAGCACAGCGCCAUAGUUAUUUAUUAAACCCUCCUAGCCUAGAAUGACCUCCUGACAUUGCACAGAGGAGCAUUUCCUAAAGUAUCCACAAUGGCUCAAACAUAUAUAGGUGAUCUAGGUAGCUCUGCCGGGGUGCCAAAAUUAGGAAGGGGCCAUAUCCCAAAGGCAGAACAUAUGUUUGGCAUCCAGAAAGUCUCCACUCCAGGCUCCAUGAUCCUGAUUUAAAUCAUGGGCAAGGGAGGGGGGAAUUUCUGUUGAGAGCUGCAUUCCCUCAGAGGUAAUCUAUUGGUAAGAGCAGGAGGCAAAAAAUGGAGCCAGACCUAAAUAUACCAUCCUCCCUCUCCCCAGGACUUUUUCUCCUCUCUCUUUCCCACCCAGGGAAGGGACAAAUUUCUCUUGCUGGAGGUCUCAAAUGAUUGCUUGCAGAGACCUUAUAUAUUAACAAAUAAAUUUACACCAUGUGCAACAAUGGCUCUUAUUCUUUAUUAUGCUGUAUUCAUUCAUUCAUUCUUUUAUUCUUCAUUUAACCUUUUCAGCGUGGGUGGUGCUGUGGUCUAAACCACAGAGCCUAGGCCUUCCCAAUUGGAAGGUCGGCGCUUCAAAUCCCCACGACGGGGUGAGCUCCCAUUGCUCAGUCCUGGCUCCUGCCAACCUAGCAGUUCGAAAGCAAGUCAAAGUACAAGUAGAUAAAUAGGUACUGCUCUGGCGGGAAGGUAAACAGCGUUUCCGUGCGCUGCUCUGGUUUGCCAGAAGUGGCUUAGUCAUGCUGGCCACAUGACCCGGAAGCUGUCUGUGGACAAACGCCGGCUCCCUCGGCCUAUAGAGCGAGAUGAUCGUGCAACCUCAGAGUCGUCCGCAACUGGACCUAACGGUCAGGGGUACCUUUACCUUUUACCACAUGGCUCCAGAAAUCUGGGCUCCCAUAAUAAUAGAAUGUUUGACAAAUGCGAAG
This 1752-nucleotide long non-coding RNA is filed under the name Podarcis lilfordi (Lilford's wall lizard). Lineage: Eukaryota; Metazoa; Chordata; Lepidosauria; Squamata; Lacertidae. The record is from RNAcentral.